Carassius auratus (goldfish) is the source of this 2041-nucleotide RNA transcript. RefSeq lists it as uncharacterized. The transcript has 12 exons. NCBI's taxonomy places the organism in Eukaryota, Metazoa, Chordata, Actinopteri, Cypriniformes, Cyprinidae. The record is from RefSeq and is a predicted model, not a curated record.
UUUUUUUUUUUUUUGAUGUAUGGCAUAAUAAAAAAAAUAAAAAAUAAUAACCUCCGUGCAUUUGUGUGGUGCGAUCUCAUUGGUGGGUGUUGGGUGUUGACGCGUCAAGGCCCCACGAAGAAGAAGAAGAAGAAGACGAAGAAUACGAGGGAAAAUAAGCAGGGAAAGUUAGACAAGGAGGAAAAAGAAGCGUGGAAAAUUAACUUGACCAAGCUGAAAAUGAAUCACCUUGACCCCGAAGAUGCCAUAUUCCUGGUUGAUGCAUUCCUGGAUGAGUGCAAGGUGGAUCAGCAUGGACAAACUAAAGGAGGUUCAAAACAAUCCACAAAGUUGUGUGUUUGGCCUGAUGAGGACAAAGAUGGUCAACCUCUGCCAAAAAGAUGUAGAGCUGGAGAGAAACGAAAGCGAGAUUCAGCUACUGUUUCUUCAGCAAGCGUUAAAAGCGUGUCCUGUGCUCCGUCUACCAGCACAACUGAAGACACAGUGAUCAUCGAAAAUUUUGACUCCCUCAUUCAAGAUGUCCGAGAACUCUUGGGAAGUGGUGAUGAACAGUCUUUCCCCUCAGAGUGGAGUAACAGGCAAACUACCUCUCUGGAGAAUUGGACAGUAAUGAGGCCCUUCAUGGUGAACAAUAUGUUGCCAUCUGAGAAGCCCAAGGAGGGGGUUUGCCAUCACUGUGGACACAAGGCUGCAGUAGUGAUGUGUAGGGACUGUUUACCACGAUCACUCUACUGCACAGCCUGUGACCUUUCCACACAUGAGGCCCUGGUGCUUCAUAACAGAGCAUCCAUGGUGGAGGGGUUCUUCAGACAACUGCAGCCAUCCACUUUUGUUCAGCAGCACGAGGGAGGGAAAUUCUCCUAUCAUGAAAAAGAUUGCAUGUUACCAAUCGUUCCUCCCUGCUGCGACUGCUCCACUGGGCAAACAAGCUUUUCCAAGGGAAAGCCAGUUAUUUUAAUUGGAAUGAAUGGAAGAUACAACCUCUUCCUUCCAUCAGUAAACUGCUCCUGUGGAAAAACCUUGCCAGUGACCAUAAGUGAUCUGGUUGAAAGUGGUUACUGGCCAGCCACUGUCAAUUUUGAGACCUUGUACAUGGUGGACUUGUUCACCACGUAUGAGGAUCUAAAAAUCACUGCCCCAGGGAUGUCCAGACAAGCUUUUGUCAGCAUGCUCGAGUGUCGUACAAAACUCUUCGGGCGAAGUGGUAAGAUUUGUGGGGACACAAUGCAGAGGGCCUUCCUCGAAUGGGCCUAUGCCAAAUUUGAGGUUGACAAGCUGUCUCAGGUCCAGCAUUUUCAGUGCCCUGCAUGCACACCAUCCAUGUUGGCAGUUGCAGUGGAUGGGAACCGCAAAUUAUAUCGUUUCAAAAGCCAACCAGGACCUGAUGGGUUUUUUGAUGGAGUCUUUUUGGACAAUGAUGCUGAUGUGUCCUCCUUUGUUGAUUACAUCCAUGAAACAACUGGACAUAAUCCAGGGAAAGGGAGAUGUGGUGCGGGUCAGUGGACCGCAGCACGAGAGUCUGCCAACAAGUCUGGAAGCAAACUAGACGAGGAAGGUGUUGAAGUUGCUGUCUGCCGUCAUGGGGUUUUGCUCAAGGGACUGAAUAUGUUCCGUGGAGAAAUAUUUGCAUACCCAUUAUCUCCAGAAACAGCUAGCUUCACAGACCGUCCAGUUUUUUUGCUCUGAUGUGGUCUGCAAAUAUUGGCCAUAUCUGCAGAAAGUUGUGGGCCACUGUCCAGAGUUGGAGGACUUGCUGAACAUGCGCCCAUUUCUCUCCAUCAUGCAUGCAAAAGCGCAUUCAUGGAUGUGUGAGUUAAAAUGGGGGAGACGCAAUCAAGAAGGAGCUGGAACAACAAUCGGGGAGGAGGUUGAACAGGUUAACAGCUUCCUCUCUCGAGCAGCCAUAUGUUCCAAGUACAUGUCAAAAGCCGUUCGCACAGACAUGCUAACUAUCCAGGCAAGUGGCUGGAACAAGCGAAAGGCAGAAAACCUUGACCGGACACUGGCCAAAAGAUACAUCAAGACUGUACAAAGGAUUGCA